Long non-coding RNA from Trichomycterus rosablanca, 957 nucleotides. RefSeq lists it as uncharacterized. Lineage: Eukaryota; Metazoa; Chordata; Actinopteri; Siluriformes; Trichomycteridae. The transcript is spliced from 4 exons. The record is from RefSeq and is a predicted model, not a curated record.
UUGGAUGUUUUUAAUUAUAAGCACAUUUACAAAAUAACAAAUUAUAUUCCUAAUGGGACAACACACGGUUAUAAAUUUAAUAGCAUCUGGAAGAACAUAAGCUAAGGUGGCCCCCCCUGAUGCACCCCAGACAUAGGCGAAGACAGAGAUGAGGGCUCUGACCCGUUUGCCUCAGAGUCAUCUUUGGGCUAGACAGAUAGAUUGGAUAGAAUAGAUGGAUAGAUGGAUGGAAAGAUGGAUAGACAGACAGACAGACAGAUGGAUAGAUAGAAAGAUAGAGGGUGUAUUAUCCUGCUGAAAGAGGCCACAGCCAUCAGGGAAUACUGUUUCCAUGAAAGAGUAUACAUGGUCUGCAACAAUGCUUAGGAUCUGCAUACGUGUCUCCAGGCGGCUCUUGUGCUGUCGAAGGACACGAGCUUCAGCCAAGAGCUCUUCAUCUUGCUGGCCCAGUGGUGAGCUCAGUCCAGAGAUGCCCUCCACCAGCUGUGGUGCUGCAGCUGCUGCUUCGUCAUGCUUCCACUUCAGCCGUCGGUAUUCACUCUGCAGCAUUCUGCACAGCCAUUAAGCACAAACAAGUUUAUAAUAUUUUCAUAAUGGGUGCUUAGGUGACGCAGCAAUCUAUUACACUAGCCUUAGAGGGGGUGGCUGAAGGCAGGCAAUAGUCUGGCAUCCGGUCCGGCGUAUACCAGCCUUGUGCCUAGUGUUUUCCGGUAAACUGGACUGGAUAAAGCAGUUGUUAAAAAUGAAAGAAAAUAAUCAGUUUAUUAAAAUGUUACUUUAACAUUCAUAUCCACAAACUAUUACUGAUCUGCUGUCAUCAUGUGAUGUCGUGUUCAGAAGACAUAAUAGCAGUGUACAUAGACAAAAAUCACUAUUAAAUAAAAACAGCUAUUAAUGCUUUUUAAUUUAACAUCAUUAUUCAUUUUACCACAUCACCAGGUAGUGUUUCCUACUAGC